GACGAACGCUGGCGGCGUGCUUAACACAUGCAAGUCGAACGGUGAAGCGCCUUCCUUUUUGGUGGGUGUGGAUGAGUGGCGAACGGGUGAGUAACACGUGAGUAACCUGCCCCCUUCUUCUGGAUAACCGCAUGAAAGUGUGGCUAAUACGGGAUAUUCUGGGUCUGUCGCAUGAUGGGUCUGGGAAAGAUAUUGUUUCGGUGGGGGAUGGGCUCGCGGCCUAUCAGCUUGUUGGUGGGGUGAUGGCCUACCAAGGCGGUGACGGGUAGCCGGCCUGAGAGGGUGGACGGUCACACUGGGACUGGGACACGGGCCAGACUCCUACGGGAGGCAGCAGUGGGGAAUAUUGCACAAUGGGCGCAAGCCUGAUGCAGCGACGCCGCGUGAGGGAUGGAGGCCUUCGGGUUGUGAACCUCUUUCGCCAGUGAAGCAGGCCUGCCUCGUUUGUGGGUGGGUUGACGGUAGCUGGAUAAGAAGCGCCGGCUAACUACGU
This 493-nucleotide ribosomal RNA is filed under the name uncultured bacterium. Its description in RNAcentral is "partial 16S ribosomal RNA". It matches the Rfam family "Bacterial small subunit ribosomal RNA", at positions 28 to 506 of the family's 1533-position model. The record is from RNAcentral.